UACGAAGGGUGCAAGCGUUACUCGGAAUUACUGGGCGUAAAGCGCGCGUAGGCGGUUUGUUAAGUCUGAUGUGAAAGCCCUGGGCUCAACCUGGGAAUGGCAUUGGAUACUGGCGAGCUAGAGUGCGGUAGAGGGUAGUGGAAUUCCCGGUGUAGCAGUGAAAUGCGUAGAGAUCGGGAGGAACAUCUGUGGCGAAGGCGACUACCUGGACCAGCACUGACACUGAGGCACGAAAGCGUGGGGAGCAAACAGG
This 253-nucleotide ribosomal RNA is filed under the name uncultured bacterium. RNAcentral's name for it is "partial 16S ribosomal RNA". It matches the Rfam family "Bacterial small subunit ribosomal RNA", at positions 524 to 776 of the family's 1533-position model. The record is from RNAcentral.